RNAcentral lists this ribosomal RNA (257 nucleotides) under uncultured bacterium. RNAcentral's name for it is "partial 16S ribosomal RNA". It matches the Rfam family "Bacterial small subunit ribosomal RNA", at positions 111 to 354 of the family's 1533-position model. The record is from RNAcentral.
UAACGCGUGGAUAACCUGCCGUAUACAGGGGGAUAACACUUAGAAAUAGGUGCUAAUACCGCAUAAGCGCACAGCUUUGCAUGAAGCAGUGUGAAAAGCAAAAAGUUAAAACUUUUGACGGUAUACGAUGGAUCCGCGUCUGAUUAGCCAGUUGGCGGGGUAACGGCCCACCAAAGCGACGAUCAGUAGCCGGCCUGAGAGGGCGGACGGCCACAUUGGGACUGAGACACGGCCCAGACUCCUACGGGAGGCAGCAG